Molecule: ribosomal RNA, 253 nt
Filed under: uncultured bacterium
Lineage: Bacteria
Description: partial 16S ribosomal RNA
Rfam family: Bacterial small subunit ribosomal RNA
Source: RNAcentral
UACGUAGGGGGCAAGCGUUGUCCGGAUUUACUGGGCGUAAAGAGCGCGUAGGCGGAAGCUUAAGUGUGGCCUGAAGGCCCCCGGCUCAACCGGGGAGUGCGGCUGCAAACUGGGCUUCUUGAGGGCGGCAGAGGAGAGUGGAAUUCCUGGUGUAGCGGUGAAAUGCGUAGAUAUCUGGAGGAACACCGGUGGCGAAGGCGGCAUCCUGGACCAUUACUGACGCUGAGGAGCGAAAGCCAGGGGAGCAAACGGG